UGUCUUAAGAUAUGUAAGUCGCUCUGGAUAAGAACGUCUGCUAAAUAACUAAAA
This is a non-coding RNA of Salmo salar (Atlantic salmon), 54 nucleotides long. The record is from Rfam. Lineage: Eukaryota; Metazoa; Chordata; Actinopteri; Salmoniformes; Salmonidae.